AGAGUUUGAUCCUGGCUCAGGAUGAACGCUGGCGGCGUGCUUAACACAUGCAAGUCGAACGAGCCUUCGGGCUAGUGGCGGACGGGUGAGUAACGCGUGAGAAUCUGCCCUCAGGAGGGGGAUAACGGCUGGAAACGGCCGCUAAUACCCCAUAUGCCGCGAGGUGAAAUGAGAAAUCGCCUGAGGAUGAGCUCGCGUCUGAUUAGCUAGUUGGUGGGGUAAGAGCCUACCAAGGCAUCGAUCAGUAGCUGGUCUGAGAGGAUGAUCAGCCACACUGGGACUGAGACACGGCCCAGACUCCUACGGGAGGCAGCAGUGGGGAAUUUUCCGCAAUGGGCGCAAGCCUGACGGAGCAACGCCGCGUGAGGGAUGAAGGCCUCUGGGCUGUAAACCUCUUUUCUCAAGGAAGAAGAACUGACGGUACUUGAGGAAUAAGCCACGGCUAAUUCCGUGCCAGCAGCCGCGGUAAUACGGGAGUGGCAAGCGUUAUCCGGAAUUAUUGGGCGUAAAGCGUCCGCAGGCGGUCUUGAAAGUCUGUUGUUAAAGCGUGGAGCUCAACUCCAUUUCAGCAAUGGAAACUAGAAGACUAGAGUGUGGUAGGGGCAGAGGGAAUUCCCGGUGUAGCGGUGAAAUGCGUAGAUAUCGGGAAGAACACCAGUGGCGAAGGCGCUCUGCUGGGCCAUAACUGACGCUCAUGGACGAAAGCCAGGGGAGCGAAAGGGAUUAGAUACCCCUGUAGUCCUGGCCGUAAACGAUGAACACUAGGUGUCGGGGGAAUCGACCCCCUCGGUGUCGUAGCCAACGCGUUAAGUGUUCCGCCUGGGGAGUACGCACGCAAGUGUGAAACUCAAAGGAAUUGACGGGGGCCCGCACAAGCGGUGGAGUAUGUGGUUUAAUUCGAUGCAACGCGAAGAACCUUACCAGGGUUUGACAUCCUGCGAAUCUUUUGGAAACAGAAGAGUGCCUUCGGGAGCGCAGAGACAGGUGGUGCAUGGCUGUCGUCAGCUCGUGUCGUGAGAUGUUGGGUUAAGUCCCGCAACGAGCGCAACCCACGUCUUUAGUUGCCAGCAUUGAGUUGGGCACUCUAGAGAGACCGCCGGUGAUAAACCGGAGGAAGGUGUGGAUGACGUCAAGUCAUCAUGCCCCUUACAUCCUGGGCUACACACGUACUACAAUGCUACGGACAGAGGGCAGCAAACUCGCGAGAGCUAGCAAAUCCCAUAAACCGUGGCUCAGUUCAGAUCGUAGGCUGCAACUCGCCUACGUGAAGGAGGAAUCGCUAGUAAUCGCAGGUCAGCAUACUGCGGUGAAUACGUUCCCGGGCCUUGUACACACCGCCCGUCACACCAUGGAAGUUGGCCAUGCCCGAAGUCGUUACUCCAACCCUUGUGGAGGAGGACGCCGAAGGUGGGGCUGAUGACUGGGGUGAAGUCGUAACAAGGUA
RNAcentral lists this ribosomal RNA (1444 nucleotides) under metagenome. RNAcentral's name for it is "bacterial SSU rRNA". It matches the Rfam family "Bacterial small subunit ribosomal RNA". The record is from RNAcentral.